This 157-nucleotide ribosomal RNA is filed under the name Alternaria alternata. Its description in RNAcentral is "5.8S ribosomal RNA". Lineage: Eukaryota; Fungi; Ascomycota; Dothideomycetes; Pleosporales; Pleosporaceae. The record is from RNAcentral.
GUACCCUCAAGCUUUGCUUGGUGUUGGGCGUCUUGUCUCUAGCUUUGCUGGAGACUCGCCUUAAAGUAAUUGGCAGCCGGCCUACUGGUUUCGGAGCGCAGCACAAGUCGCACUCUCUAUCAGCAAAGGUCUAGCAUCCAUUAAGCCUUUUUUUCAA